RNAcentral lists this ribosomal RNA (392 nucleotides) under uncultured bacterium. Its description in RNAcentral is "bacterial SSU rRNA". It matches the Rfam family "Bacterial small subunit ribosomal RNA", at positions 505 to 898 of the family's 1533-position model. The record is from RNAcentral.
GUGUCAGCCGCCGCGGUAAGACGGAGGGGGCUAGCGUUGUUCGGAAUUACUGGGCGUAAAGGGUGCGUAGGCGGCCAAUUAAGUUAGACGUGAAAGCCCAGAGCUUAACUUUGGAAUUGCGCCUAAUACUGGUUGGCUAGAGUUCGGUAGAGGAAAGUAGAAUUCCUAGUGUAGAGGUGAAAUUCGUAGAUAUUAGGAAGAAUACCAGAGGCGAAGGCGGCUUUCUGGACCGAUACUGACGCUGAGGCACGAAAGCGUGGGGAGCAAACAGGAUUAGAUACCCUGGUAGUCCACGCUGUAAACGAUGAGAGUUAGACGUCAGGAGCAUUGCUUUUGGUGUCGCAGCUAACGCGUUAAACUCUCCGCCUGGGGAGUACGGUCGCAAGAUUAAA